RNAcentral lists this ribosomal RNA (445 nucleotides) under uncultured bacterium. RNAcentral's name for it is "partial 16S ribosomal RNA". It matches the Rfam family "Bacterial small subunit ribosomal RNA", at positions 354 to 796 of the family's 1533-position model. The record is from RNAcentral.
GUGAGGAAUAUUGGUCAAUGGGCGGGAGCCUGAACCAGCCAAGUCGCGUGAAGGAAGAAGGAUCUAUGGUUCGUAAACUUCUUUUGCAGGGGAAUAAAGUGCAGGACGUGUCCUGUUUUGUAUGUACCCUGAGAAUAAGGAUCGGCUAACUCCGUGCCAGCAGCCGCGGUAAUACGGAGGAUCCGAGCGUUAUCCGGAUUUAUUGGGUUUAAAGGGUGCGUAGGUGGUUUGAUAAGUCAGAGGUGAAAGUUUGCAGCUUAACUGUAAAAAUGCCGUUGAAACUGUCGGACUUGAGUGUAAAUGAGGUAGGCGGAAUGCGUGGUGUAGCGGUGAAAUGCAUAGAUAUCACGCAGAACUCCGAUUGCGAAGGCAGCUUACUAAGCUACAACUGACACUGAAGCACGAAAGCGUGGGGAUCAAACAGGAUUAGAAACCCUAGUAGUCC